UCUAUUUCAUUGUACAUGCAUUCAUAUAUUUAUGAUUGGGCAUAGUAGCGUAGCUUUACUUCUGUCAUUUACCGCUUUCCUUAUCUAUCUAUCUAUCGAUUAUCUACUUUUGCCCGCUUGGACCUAGUGGGGAGAUCGGCGGAGUCGGCGGCCGAACCCACUGGGAACUAAGGAAGUUAGUUCUCACCCCACUCUUUACAGGUUCUAGUUCGGGCGUCCCCGGUGAGCGUGAGGAUCGUGGUAAGGGCAAGGCGCUCUAGUCGCAUUAGCUACCUCCCUUUUGCAUUAGCUGUCACCCUUUUUGUAUUUGAGAGUAGAUGUUGUAUAGGGUGAGGUUUGAGUGCUUGUACUUAUAUUUUUGGAAGAAUGUAAAAGACGUACUUAAAUGUAGUAAAUCAAAUGAAUGUAAUGGAUAGCCUCUUCUCUCUUAUGUACUUGUAUAUGUUUCUAUACUUGGUGGUGCUUCUUGAUCGUGUAUUUAUGAAUUGAUUCCUGGGUAAAUUCUUAUACAUGAUCUGUUGGUUAGCCUUGGACGGACAGGGGAGGUCCUGUCCGUUUGGCGUCUAUUCGACGCGCCCGGGGCCGGACCAAAUUGGUAGCGGUCUCGGGGAGUGACAGAGUCCCAAAUUUACACUCUCUGGGCAUAAUAGAACAAUAUAAUUAGGUUUUACUCAUUGUUCGAUAGAAUGAGAAAAAGUACUCGUUGCAAAUUUAUACUGUUUGGGCGCAACUGAGUAUUGUAAUGUUGUUUCGGUUUUAAUUCUUGUGAACGUUGACAUGAAAUCGUUCCAAAUUUACACUCUCGGGACAUAAUAGAAAAAUAUAAUUAGGUUUUACUCUUUGUUCGAUAGAAUUAGAAAAAGUACUCGUUGCAAAGUUAUACUAUAAAGGUGCAACUGGGUAGUCUAAUGUUGUUCCGGUUUUUCUUCUUGUGAACGUUGACAUCGAUUCGUUCCAAAUUUACACUCUCUGGGCAUAAUAGAACAAUAUAAUUAGGUUUUACGCUUUGUUCGAUAGAAUGAGAAAAAGUACUCAUUGCAAAGUUAUACUGUUAGGGCGCAACUGAGUAGUCUAAUGUUGUUCCGGUUUUUGUUCUUGUGAACGUUGACAUCGAUUAGUUCCAAAUUCACAAUCUCAGGGCAUAAUAGAACAAUAUAAUUAGGUUUUACUCUUUGUUCGAUUGAAUGACAAAAAGUACUCGUUGCAAUGUUAAAUUGUUAGGACGCAACUGAGUAGUCUAAUGUUGUUCUGGUUUGGUUCUUGUGAACGUUAACAUCGAUUCGUUCCAAAUUUACACUCUCGGGGCAUAAUAGAACAAUAUAAUUAGGUUUUACUCUUUGUUCGAUUGAAUGAGAAAAAGUACUCGUUGCAAAGUUAUACUGUUAGGGCGCAACUGAGUAGUCUAAUGUUGUUCUGGUUUUGGUUCUUGUGAACGUUGACAUCGAUUCAAUCCAAAUUAACACUCUUGGGGUAUAAUAGAACAAUAUAAUUAGGUUUUACUCCUUGUUCGAUUUAAUGAGAAAAAGUACUCGUCGCAAAGUUAUACUGUUAGUGCGCAACUGAGUAGUCUAAUGUUGUUCCGGUUUUGGUUCGCAAAGUUAUACUAUGCCACCUGCUGCGGCGUCGGCUGGACGUGUGACGGCACCACGUCAACCUGAACAAGCACGAUCGGCUCCGAGCGGAAGGAUGUAUGCCGCUCAAGUACAAGUGGAGGAGCCCCCUGAAGCUGAGGAGCGUAAUGUAGUGGCAGGUAUGGUGUUGAUUAAUGGUGUUCGAGCAAGAGCUCUUUUUGAUACUGGCGCUUCUCACUCGUUUAUUAACUAAUCAUUUGCGCAAGUGCAUGACAUUGAGAUUAGUCUCGGGGAGAGUGUUUGGCGUGUAGAGGGACCCGGACGAGCGUUCCUCGUUAAGAAGCGGUGCUUGGCGUGCCCAGUACAAGUAGGUGACUGGAUUAUGCCAGUCGACCUGUUGGUGCUAAAGAGUUCGUGUAUUGGGCAUGAACUGGCUCUCGAAGUAUUAUGUGUCUAUCGACUGUAAGACUAGAGUGAUCACAUUUCGGGAGCCGGGACACGAGGAGUUUACGUAUCGAGCUUGCAAGAGUUCGUGUUUCGCCGCGACGGUGUCGGCGACGAGAGCAAGGAAGCUGGUUAAUAGCAGUUGUACGGCUUACUUGGCGACCGUUAGGAAGUCGACCGAGUAGUGCCGGUUCUGGAAGAGUUGGAGGUUGUGCAAGAAUUCCCGGACGUGUUUCCGAAAGAGUUACUGGGGAUGCCGCCAGACCGAGAAAUUGAGUUCAUGAUCAACUUGCUUCCCAGGAUCGCGCCGAUAUCAAAGGCCCCGUAUCAUAUGGCGCCGGCUGAGUUAAGGGAGUUGAGGGAUCAGUUGCAGGAUCUUCUCGACAAGCAGUUCAUUAGGCCGAGCGUGUCUCCGUGGGGAGCCCCGGUAUUGUUUGUGCGCAAGUAGGAUAGAUCUUUUCGACUCUGUGUGGAUUACCGCGAGUUGAAUAAGGUCACCGUGAAGAACAAGUAGCCGUUACCCCGCAUCGACGACUUGUUUGAUCAGUUACAGGGGUCGCGAGUGUACUCAAAGAUUGACCUUCAAUCCGGCUACCAUAAAUUGAAGAUUAAGCCGGAGGAUGUUCCGAAGACAGCCUUCCGUACGCGGUAUGGACACUAUGAGUUCACGGUGAUGCCGUUUGGGCUUAUGAAUGCCUCGGCUGCGUUCAUGAGCUUGAUGAACCGAGUAUUUAGGGAGUGCUUAGACCGAUUUGUCGUAGUCUUUAUAGACGACAUCUUGGUCUAUUCGCACAACGAGGAGGAGCAUGUGAAGCAUUUGCGCACUGUACUUCAAAUCCUUCGGGAGAAGAAGUUGUACGCAAAGUUGAAGAAGUGUGACUUAUGGCUCCGGGAAGUUGCUUUUCUCGGGCAUGUUAUUUCCGAGGGCGGUGUUUCUGUGGACCCGAGGAAAGUAGAGGCUAUUGAGAAUUGGCCACGCCCGACGAAUGUUGCUGAGGUCCGAAGUUUUGUGGGCCUAGCGGGUUAUUACCGACGGUUUGUGGAGGGUUUCUCGAAGAUCGUAACUCCACUCACCCGUCUGACGCAGAAGGGCACCAGAUUUGUUUGGAGCGACGAGUGUGACCAGAGUUUCAAGGAGCUGAAGGAAAGAUUAACUUCAACUCCGGUACUCGCCUUACCGGUGCAGGGUGAGGAUUAUGUAGUGUAUAGCGACGCAUCCUAUCUGGGUCUGGGGUGUGUACUGAUGCAAGGUGGGAGGGUGAUUGCUUAUGCAUCCCGUCAAUUGAAAAGCUACGAGAGGAACUACCCCAUACAUGAUUUGGAAUUGGCGGCGGUAAUCUUUGCUUUGAAGCUUUGGAGACACUAUCUGUAUGGUGCUCAUUGCGAGAUCUACACCGACCAUAAGAGUUUGAAAUACUUGUUUACCCAGAAGGAGCUGAACAUGCGGCAACGGCGGUGGUUGGAAUUGCUUAAGGACUACGAUGUUGAUAUCCUUUACCACCCCGGGAAAGCGAACGUGGUCGCGGAUGCACUUAGUCGGAAGUCGGCGGAGAACCUCGCUUUGUGGGUUACAAGCCAGACGCCCAUGCAGUUGCAAAUGGGGAAGAUGGAUCUCGAGGUGGUGGCUCCGGAAAUUCCGGCUAGGAUGAUGACGUUGGUGAUCCAACCGACCUUAUUGGAGAGGAUUAAAGAUUCGCAGUCGGCGGACCCGAAUCUCCAGAAGGUACGGCACAAUGUUGAAAGUGGCCGUGGCGGAGAUUUCAGCGUAGAUACUAGUGGUGCACUACGAUUUCAAAAUCGGUGGUGUGUGCCAAAUGACGAGGAGCUUCGCAAGCUGAUUUUGCAAGAAGCGCAUUGGUCUCCUUAUGUCGACCACCCGGGCGGCACCAAAAUGUUUCACGAGUUGAAGACAUUGUACUGGUGGCCGGGAAUGAAGACUGAUAUUGGCCGCUUCGUAGCGAAGUGUUUGGUGUGCCAACAGGUGAAGGCGCAGCGUCGAUUUCCAGUGGGGAAGCUUCAGAGUUUAACUAUUCCCGUCUGGAAAUGAGAUGACAUAUCGAUGGACUUCAUCGUUAGCUUACCUCGUUCGACAAGGGGCCACGACGCGAUUUGGGUGAUUGUGGAUCGUUUGACGAAAUCGGCGCACUUUCUGCCGAUCCACAACACCUGGGCAGGUGAGAAACUCGCGCAGGUAUAUCUCGACGAGGUGGUGAGGCUACAUGGGGUGCCGAAGUCGAUUGUAUCAGAUCGAGACCCCAAGUUCACUUCACACUUUUAGAGAAGCCUACAAGAAGCCCUUGGCACGCGACUCGAGUUCAGUACCGCCUUUCAUCCUCGGACAGAUGGACAGACCGAGAGAACCAUCCAGACCUUGGAGGAUAUGUUGCGGGCGUGUGCCAUCAACAUAUGCUCCAAACAAUCCAAAUAUUAAGGAUUUAACAAGCUAACUUCACAUUAGAGGCUAUUAGAACACUUAAACUUAAGGAUUAAGCCAAAUCCCGAUAGCUUACCAAAAUAUGAACGCUGAAACGGAAGCACGCCAAUCCAACGGGCGCAUGAAAACUCGAUCCGUCGCUCCCAACGCGUUCGCAAGCUCGAUCUCCACCAACGCCGUGAAUUUGGGCGAAAGAUCUAGAGAGAUGAGAGAGAUAUUUAGAGAGAGAAAGAGAGGGUUUCUCUCUCCUUCACCAUGUGCGUGUGAUGCUUGGUGCUAGCUGCAGCUGAGGAGGAAGAAGCCUAGUAGCUUCUACUUAUAGUCAACACCUCAAUAGUAGCAUACACUAUUCACAUCAGGCAGCUCCAAAUCUGAUAUCUUUCGUCGGAGCUCCCUGAAUAUCCGUUUGAGCUCAAAUUUGACAGUCAUGUUCGGUUCAACGUACUGAACAAGAAUAUAUCUUAAGUUUUCAGUUUCGACCCCGUUUGGUCACCGAAAACUGUGCCGAACUGCAAUCUUUAUCAGAUGACUUUCGGAUUUUAUUUCUCACUCUACGGGUGUCAGAAAAAUAUGAAACUUUAAAUCUAGCCUCAUUAAAAUAUUUCUGGCAUCCCCGCCAAUUUUCAUAAUUUUCUGAGGCUGUACAUUUUCUGCUAAUUUAUCUGCCCCGUUUCUCACAGAAAAUCUAAAUCUUCUGUUUCGCUCUGAUUUCAACACGGGUCAUUCCAGACUUAUAUUUCACUUCUCUAAAUCUAAUAAAAAUAGUAUCUCAUACUAUUUUUAUUUAUUUUCCUUUUUAUAUUAAAAUCCGCAUAUUACAUCCCACUGUAACUUCAUAAUUUUAGUAGUUCGGUAUCCUACAUACACAAUGUAUUCCAUGUCUCCAAUCUUCGCAAGUAUGUGCAUGAUCCCGAGCAUGUCUUGGUCUACGAGCCGUCAGAACUGCAAGGAGACAUGAGCUACGAAGAGUUUCCGGUGGAGAUCCUAGCUCGAGAGGUGCGUAAGUUGAGAAGUCGCGAAAUCCCUUAUGUUCGAGUCCGGUGGAGUAAUCAUAGCGAUCGUGAAGCCACCUAGGAGCUCGAGGAGGAGAUGAAAGCGAAUCAUCCUCACUUAUUUAAGGAUUGAGCUGAGGUAUGAGUUUAAAAUUCGAAUUCUGAAUGAACUUAGUGUCGUUGAGUUCGUUUCGAGGACGAAACUCUUUUAAGGUGGGGAGAAUGUAAGGAAAGUGAAUUCUCGAAAUCCGAGGAUUAGACUUCGUCUGGAAUCGACUGGUUGUCGAGUGUGUAAGCUUCGGAAAGUCCGAAGGCGAUUAAAGCACAUGAAGUGCAUUAAGAAAGGUCCGCGAGAGCACCAGUGCAAAAGCUGCACUGGGGCAGAAAUGCUUUCGGGGACCGGUCCCUGGCAAGGAGGGACCGGUCCCAUCGGGCUGGGCUGCGGGGGUCUCUGAUGAGACCGGUCCCUGGCAGGCAGGGACCGGUUCCCGAACGUUAGCCCAGCGAGAAUUAGCCGAAAUUUGGCUAAGUCCCGAGAACUCAGCUCUCGGGGACCGGUCUCUCGGAUAAGGACCGGUCUCCCGGGGACCGGUCUCUCAGGUAAGGACCAAUUCCCGAACGCGAAAUCCCCUCUGCCUGAUUGUGCAGCUCUCGGGGACCGGUCUCCCCGAGCUUGGACCGGUCCCUCACUGCGAAAAUGGCCCAGUGAGAGGCUGUGUAAUAGAUGAAAAGUUGAGGGGUUUAAUUGCAAAAUGGCUUAUAUGAGAGGCUAGGGGACCCUCUCUCUCUCUCAUUUGCUUUCUCUCCCUUUCACACUCUUUCCCUCUCUCUCUCUAGGAAAGAAAAGAAGGAGAAGAAGGAGAAGAAAAGAAGAGGAAGGAAAAGACUAAGAAGAAGAAGAAGAUUGUCUUCUUCUCUCUCCCUCAAGCUUGAGGUCUUGAAGAGAGGUAAGCUUUAAACCCUUUAAUGGUGUUCUAGGGUUUGGGGGUUUUAUAGCUUAGAAAUAGUUCAAGCUCGAAGUCGAGGCUCGCCCCACGGAUUUCCCCACCGUUGCUAACCUAGGGCACGGAUUUGGGAUUUUUAGAAAUCUAGGGUUUUGAUCUCAAUUAAUGGGUCGCAAACCUAAUUGCUAGGUCCCUGAACGCGCCGGCGAAGACGGUUUGUCGAUCCGUCGAGUAGGUGCGUAGUUAUUGUCGAAGGCGACCCUCGGAGCGUCGUUUCCGCUGAGAAGGCCGACGAGGCGUCGAAACGUCGGCGAAUCGCAUACGAAGGGUCGCGGCAUCGCCAUGAGGUGGGAGAGUGCCAUCCCGAAGCAGUCGUGUCACGCCCCGCGACCAACCGCCAAUUUGGACCGGGUCGCGGCGCCGCCGACAGACCGCCGACCGGACCAGGAAUUCCCCUGUACGCGGACAGAGUCUCCUAAGUACGUCCAAGGCGUCGCAAUCCAAACAAUCAACGAAUGUUCCAACAAGGAACGGAUAUCAAUCCAAAUUGCAUAAGGAAGUAUCAAAUACAUAAUCUACUUGCUAUCACAAGCAUUCAUUUCACAACCACGUUUUACAUCACAGUUUCAGUUUACAUUUUUACUUCCGAAUUACAAUCUCACUAUUACAUCAGGGUUUAUGAGUUUGAUACAUUUUCUUUUCUUGUCUUCUAGACCCCUAAGCUAGACUGUCUCAGGGUACUGCUACCUCGGUCUCUGUAGUGGGGCGCUAUCUACUGAGCUACGCCUUCGCCUCGCGCCGCCGCGCCGCACACGAACGACCUGAAAAUCCCAAAACAACGUGGGGUGAGAACCAACUCCAUGGUUCCCAGUGGGUACGGCCACCCAAGGAAAAAGCUCGACCGAUAGGUCCGAGGAGGCACUGCAACAUGUUAGUUCAACCAAUAACAGCAGUAAUAUAUACAAUGCUGAAAUACACUGGCCAUGCCUCACAAUAUGCGAUAUGAAAUCUGCACAACAAGUAAUCAUUUGAAAUUCUACUUUUACUUGCUACUUUAGCCAAAUGAAUUACUCCCUAAGGUUCUAUUACCUUAGGGAUCAGCAACACCAACCCCACUAGCUUUCUAAGGUUUCUAUUACCCGUAGGAUCAGCCCUCCUAUCCAGCCUCAUCAGGGUUUCCUCUACCCUAUCAAUAACUAACCAACCCGACUCGGCCCCUUCGAGUCAAUCAUCCCUGCGAUAGCCUGCGCACUGGCUGCUCAACAGCCUACGCACUCUCUCUGACUCAGGCCUCGCUACACACCGGCGAAAAUCGUCGCACACGCUGAGGCACCGGCUCGAGUCGCCAAGACUUGACCAUCCGGUGGCCGAUCGCGUUCACUUAACCAACCGUGAGCUCCCUGAGACCAUGACAUACGUCCUGCGCGAACGGGUGCACCCAGACAACGAUCUUGUCAGACUUAGUCACCUGGAGGCACCCCCCGCAUUGACUACCCAGCAUCGGAUUCAGUCACUCUGGCGGCUGAUCCUCAAAUGGCUAACCAUCCCGGCGGGCCCGAAAUCGUCGCACAAACGCCACGCAAUGGUUCAACGACCCGGGCCCCCCCGGUGAUCUCUAUAUUGAUCGCCCCCAACACCCACGGUACCAAGCUCGGCGGCGAAGUCGCGGCACCGAACCGGCCCUAGCCGACUGUUACCCAGCGGACAUUCAUUAAGUCCUGGGAUUCCGGAAUCCACUUACCCCACAGGUCGAGGGUCCCAUAAAACCAACCCUAUACUGUCGACCCCUAUCUCAUCCCUAGUGGCUAACCACAUACGCCAUCAACCUAAGGUCCAAUACUCCCUAAGGUUCAGGUCCAUGUCACUUACCUAGAUAACACUUGGCCUAGGUUCAUGCAUUUUACCUAGAUGUCCACUUCUAGGUUUACUAGUUCGACCUACGGUUUACUAAACUAGGUUAGUGAAAGCACAACACCUAAAUCGUUCGAUCUCUAGGUUCACCUGUUAACCUUGUUCUUUAAUACUAGUUAAGCCACUCGAUCCAGUCUGGCAACCUAGUGUCCCAAUCAUCCACCUACUCACACAGAAAGUUAUCAAGCUAGAGUUUUAUACCUAUACCAUACAUCAUUGCUUCCUAAGCUUAGCAAUUUACCCUAUGCAUCCUUGCACAUCGCAUUUCUUAAAAAACAAAAAAAAAAAAAAUACACCAGCUAGCAUACCUAAAAUGCAUAAUCAUCUAUGGCUUCACUGGGCACUGUUAUUAAUAUCGCAUUUUGCUCAUAUCAGCACUUACUAGCAUUAUAUUUAUUGUCAUGCUUACUAAGCAUAAUGUAACCCUUGCUCCACUAUGCAUUUCCACCUUAGCAGCUUUCAUCUAUGCAUUAUCUUCUAUCAUGCAUCUAACCUUACAUUGGUUUAGCAUUUUACUUAUGCAUAUCUAUUAAUGACCAACUUAGCUUGUCUACAUGCACAUGCAUCCAACUGAGAUUAGAUUGGCUAAGACAUAAGGGUGACCUAGUCGGCUCCCCGGUAAGCAGCAACCCACCUUAUCGCGUCCGAUUGCUUGUCGACCACUUGCAUUCGUCUCGCGCGCACUCGCACCCGUUUGGCCCCGAACUCUUGCGCGACUGUGCGACCGUAACCCUCCGAACCGGCGAUCCGUCUUUCCGGAGUUUAUUCCUUGACUCCAAGAUGGCUCGAUUCCGAUGCUCACGAUUUGUAGGCGUUUUAUUCCGGCGUGCCGGCCAUUCUGUGACGCAAGAACCGACCGGUUUCGUGCAUAAACUUCGCGUACGUCGUCCGGAUUGUCGAACCCGAGCGUUUCAACGGCGGUUCAUAGGUCCCGCAUAGGUUCUCCAAAGUGGUCAAAAUAGAUCAAAACCCCAUAUGAGCAAAACCCCUCUUUGGGAUGCCCUAACAUAUGCUCAAUACUUCGGAUUUGAUCUAUAAAACAAGCAAAAGAUAGCUUGUUUAUCAUCUAGGAGCUCAAAUAGGAGUAUUCGAACCAUUUCUAGGGUGUUUAGGACAAACUCUAGAAAUCCACCAUUAAAGCCUCAUGAAGAACAACAUGGAUUUCAUGUGUUCUUGGCCUCUACGAAGUUCUAAAGCUUGUACGUAGAUCAAAACCAAAGAUCUAGGGUUUAAAACCCAUUCUACAAAAAUCUACCAUGAGAGGCUUGGAAGCUUACCUCUCCUAGAGCUCCAAGGGAGAGAAGAAGAUGAAGAGGAUGAUGAUGGUGAUGAUCCUCUUCCUCUCCUCCAUCUUCUCCUUCUUUUCUUCUUCUUCUUUUCUUCUUUUCCCUUCUUCUCUUCUCUUUUUCCUUCUCUUUUCUUGCAACCGGUUGAGAGAGAGGGAGAGACACGAGAGAGAGAGAGAGAGAGAGAGAGAGAGAGAGAUCUGCUGUGGGGGAGAGGGGUUUAGGGCUAUUACAUUAGGUAACAAUUGCUAAUAAACCCCUCCAAUCAUUUAUAAUUGCAGCAGACUAAUUCUGUGCUGUUCGGACUCCUUGUACCGGUACACGGUUUCUUGUACCGGUACAAGGCCUGGCAGACAGCCCAACCCGAGAGCUGGCUCUCUCGGUUGCGCAGGGCUUGUACCGGUACAAGACCCCUUGUACCGGUACAAGGCCUGGCAGCUCCAAGCCUUGAACUUCGCUGGUUGUACCGGUACAACCAUUGGGCUUGUACCGAUACAAGACAUCCAGAAUGUCAUUUUUGACUUCGUUUUCACUCUCUUUCGCGCCGUUCGAUGCCAAAACUCUUCCAACUAUUUUGAGCUUACUUUUAGCCCUUCCAACCGUGUUGGAAUGUUAAUUGGGACUUGUCCAUCCAUCUUCUUCGCAUACUUUAGUCGAUUUGGCUAAAGUUCGAUAAUUUCUUCCGAAACCUCGGGGGUUACAAGUCGGGCUGCUCUCUAUGUCUGAGUAACAUUGUCGAUCAUUUACAUAUUGUGAUAUAGCAUUAUAGGGUGUUUGUCACGCCCCGAGACCGCUACCAAUUUGGUGCGGUUCGAGCGCGUCGAACAGACGCCGAACGGACAGAGUCUCCCCUGUCCGCCCAAGGCUAAGCAAACGAUCAUGUACAAGGAUUUACCCAGGAAUCAAAUCAUAAGUACACAAUCACAAGAGCACAACAAGUGCUAACAAGUAAGAGCAAGGCACAAGUAUAAAGAAUACAAGUAACGAUAAAGAGAGAAGGUCUAUCUAUUACAUUCAUUCAACCUCUUUAAUACAUCGAUUUACAUUUAAACUGCCAAAUACAACAUGAGUUUACAUUUCCAAAAUGAUUCCUCACACCCUAUACAUCAUCUACUCUCAAGUACAAAAGGAUACUCUAACUCGUCUACUUGUGGCUUACAAUAUCACUGCGGUUAAGGUCAACCAAUCCCACACGGGUCAAUACUCUAACCUAGCUCGAGUGAAUCGGACAGAGGUGGACACCUCCAUCGAGGAGUGUCCAUCACGUGAGGCCUCAAACCGUGCGCUCCCCCGGUCACAUCACGGGAACCUGGUCACAUCACAGGCGUCCGCCAGAGCCCCAUCCACUUAUCGAUCGGUGGAGGGGAUACUCUGAAUCUCUGCACUCUGACACUCGCUUGGAACGCAAGCGAUUCUCUAACCCAUUAACUAACUUACUAAAAUAAUAACUCGUAUCAUCAUACUAUCGGUCGGAAGAGUGAUACUCAGGGUACGUACGUAGUAUGACCUAACUCUGUAACUAUCUAAUAUCAAGUAUCAACGAGUAAUGACAAUUACGAAAGUCAAAAUAUAUAGAUUGAUGAGCAACGUUUCAGAUAUGACAAACCCGCGUUGACUCAUCUGGAUUACCCCUCUAGGCGCCUCAGCCAGUCGGCUUGGGUGACUGUUGCUAAGCAUCAAGAGUGUGGUGGUACAAUGAUGUCCCGGCUCGCGCUCGCGUGUGCCGCUCCUAGCGCCGUUCCCGCAUCGCGGGAUCUACUGUAAUCAUCUCCAAAUGAAAGGAGUACGUGAUCUCGGUGGUACAUGAUAANCUGGAGAACUUUAGUGUGGUUUAGACACUAUGAGAUUGAGCAGAUGAACACCGAAUGUUAUAGUGACGCCAAUUCCAGUUGGUUAGGGUGUGCCCAGUUAUGAGAUUGGAUCGAGCUCACUUAGCCUGUCUCCACCUGUGGAGGUAGCUCCUCACAGGUAGUGCACUCCGGAGUUUGGCACGCGAGGGGGCCAGUGUAGUGCCCUUGGACCAGUGUAGUGUCCGCAGGCGGUCUCGGGGUAGGUGAAUAGCUAGCCACCUCCCCUAUGAGACUUAGAGACGUGAGACUGUGAGCGAACCUUGCGUUCGCUAAGAGAUUGGGUAAUUGAUUGAAUGAUUUUAUUAUUGAGCAUAGUAGUAUGAUAGCCAGCCUUCUCACUAUGAGUCCCAUGCAUGCAUCAUACUGGAUUGAGACAUUGAUAGAUUAUAGUUCAUAGUUGCUCAUUACUGUUAAUGCUUUCAGUUUUAUAUAUCUAUCUAUCUGCAUGUCUAUCUGUGCCUGCUUAGACCUAGUGGGGAGAUCGGCGGAGUCGGCAGCCGAACCCACUGGGAACUAUUCGUAGUUCUCACUCCACCAUGUUGCAGGUCCGAGUUCGAGCGCCCCUGGUGAGGAUCGCGGCAAGGGCGUAGCGCCCUAGUGACAUUAGUAGAGGUUUACUUUCCUCAUGCACUAGUUGUAUCCUGUACUAUUUUGAAAGUAGUUGGAUGUAUAGGGUGAGGUUUUGAGAGGAUUGUAUAUACAUUGUACAGUUUUGGAAGAAUGCAAGUUGUAAUAAUUGUAUAAAGUUAAAUAAAUUAAUAGUUAAGUA
RNAcentral lists this long non-coding RNA (12201 nucleotides) under Ananas comosus (pineapple). RNAcentral's name for it is "long non-coding RNA (ACOM_LNC034254)". Lineage: Eukaryota; Viridiplantae; Streptophyta; Magnoliopsida; Poales; Bromeliaceae. The record is from RNAcentral.